Molecule: transfer RNA, 97 nt
Filed under: Trichosporon asahii var. asahii CBS 8904
Lineage: Eukaryota; Fungi; Basidiomycota; Tremellomycetes; Trichosporonales; Trichosporonaceae
Description: tRNA-Glu
Rfam family: tRNA
About the family: Transfer RNA (tRNA) molecules are approximately 80 nucleotides in length. Their secondary structure includes four short double-helical elements and three loops (D, anti-codon, and T loops). Further hydrogen bonds mediate the characteristic L-shaped molecular structure. tRNAs have two regions of fundamental functional importance: the anti-codon, which is responsible for specific mRNA codon recognition, and the 3' end, to which the tRNAs corresponding amino acid is attached (by aminoacyl-tRNA synthetases). tRNAs cope with the degeneracy of the genetic code in two manners: having more than one tRNA (with a specific anti-codon) for a particular amino acid; and 'wobble' base-pairing, i.e. permitting non-standard base-pairing at the 3rd anti-codon position.
Source: RNAcentral
UCCCAUAUCGUCUAGCGGUUUAGGAUCCGUGCUUUUCAAGCUCCGCAGUUGGACGUUCUGAGCGCACGUGGCCGGGGUUCGAUUCCCCGUGUGGGAA